AUUGAACGCUGGCGGCAUGCUUUACACAUGCAAGUCGAACGGCAGCGCGGGCUUCGGCUUGGCGGCGAGUGGCGAACGGGUGAGUAAUGCAUCGGAACGUGCCCAGUAGUGGGGGAUAGCCCGGCGAAAGCUGGAUUAAUACCGCAUACGACCUGAGGGUGAAAGCGGGGGACCGAAAGGCCUCGCGCUAUUGGAGCGGCCGAUGUCGGAUUAGCUAGUUGGUGGGGUAAAGGCUUACCAAGGCGACGACCCGUAGCUGGUCUGAGAGGACGACCAGCCACACUGGAACUAGGACACGGCCCAGACUCCUACGGGAGGCAGCAGUGGGGAAUUUUGGACAAUGGGGGCAACCCUGAUCCAGCCAUGCCGCUUGCGGGAAGAAGGCCUUCGAGUUGUAAACCGCUUUUGUUCGGGAAGAAAUCCUCUGGGCUAAUACCCCGAGGGAAUGACGGUACCGGAAGAAUAAGCACCGGCUAACUACGUG
RNAcentral lists this ribosomal RNA (484 nucleotides) under uncultured bacterium. Its description in RNAcentral is "partial 16S ribosomal RNA". It matches the Rfam family "Bacterial small subunit ribosomal RNA", at positions 29 to 507 of the family's 1533-position model. The record is from RNAcentral.